AAUUCAUGGUGCGAGUAUUUUUGAAUCAACAUUUUGAAGUGUUCCCACACAUCAUAAAAGUUUUCUCCUUCUAUCUGUCUAAAUUCAACGACCUCUCUUCUUAAUU
This 106-nucleotide small nucleolar RNA is filed under the name Gossypium hirsutum (cotton). RNAcentral's name for it is "Plant small nucleolar RNA R71". It matches the Rfam family "Plant small nucleolar RNA R71". From Rfam's summary of the family: R71 is a member of the C/D box family of snoRNAs containing the C (UGAUGA) and D (CUGA) box motifs. Multiple nearly identical copies of this snoRNA have been identified in Arabidopsis, and it is thought to function as a 2'-O-ribose methylation guide for 18S ribosomal RNA. The record is from Rfam by way of RNAcentral. Lineage: Eukaryota; Viridiplantae; Streptophyta; Magnoliopsida; Malvales; Malvaceae.